AUUGAACGCUGGCGGCAUGCUUUACACAUGCAAGUCGAACGGUAACAGGCCUUCGGGUGCUGACGAGUGGCGAACGGGUGAGUAAUGCAUCGGAACGUGCCCAGAGGUGGGGGAUAACGCAGCGAAAGCUGUGCUAAUACCGCAUGUGAUCUGAGGAUGAAAGCGGGGGACCAGGCAGCAAUGUUUGGCCUCGCGCCUUUGGAGCGGCCGAUGUCCGAUUAUGUAGUUGGUGGGGUAAAGGCCUACCAAGCCGACGAUCUGUAGCUGGUCUGAGAGGACGACCAGCCACACUGGGACUGAGACACGGCCCAGACUCCUACGGGAGGCAGCAGUGGGGAAUGUUGGGCAAUGGGCGCAAGCCUGAUCCAGCAAUGCCGCGUGCGGGAAGAAGGCCUUCGGGUUGGAAACCGCUUUUGUACGGAACGAAAAGGCUCUGGCUAAUACCUGGGGCUGAUGACGGUACCGUAAGAAUAAGCACCGGCUAACUACGUG
Molecule: ribosomal RNA, 492 nt
Filed under: uncultured bacterium
Lineage: Bacteria
Description: partial 16S ribosomal RNA
Rfam family: Bacterial small subunit ribosomal RNA
Source: RNAcentral